CUUAUCAAGAGCGGUGGAGGGAACGGCCCGAUGAAACCCGGCAACCUGUGUGAUACAAGGUGCCAAAUCCGGCGGCAACGAGAGAUGAG
RNAcentral lists this non-coding RNA (89 nucleotides) under uncultured Faecousia sp. RNAcentral describes it as "SAM riboswitch (S box leader)". It matches the Rfam family "SAM riboswitch aptamer (S box leader)". Rfam says of the family: The SAM riboswitch is found upstream of a number of genes which code for proteins involved in methionine or cysteine biosynthesis in Gram-positive bacteria. The SAM riboswitch acts at the level of transcription termination control. The record is from RNAcentral. Lineage: Bacteria; Bacillati; Bacillota; Clostridia; Eubacteriales; Oscillospiraceae.